CUCAUGUGUCUGGUGGUUAGCUGGUAGUUGGCCGGGGCAGUGGAGACAGCUGGUCUGGUAGUCACUCAUCACCCAGCAGGCUAGCCUGGGCUUGGUCACAUGACCCUGGCAGGAUUCCAAGAGAGGGCACAGGAGCGGCCGGGCUCUUGAGGCCGAGGCUCCUAAGUGGCACAGAUUGCUUCUAUUGGCUAAAUCGAGUCACAUUCUGUUGGCCCAGGAACUAUGGUGCCAGAUGUGUGUGGGGUGUUUUACACAGUGAUAAGCUGACAUCUUAGCAGGGACCUGAAGGAAGUGAGAGAUUAAGUCCUGUGGUCACCUGCAGGAAGAGAGUUCUGAGGCAGAAGGAAUAGCACAGAGGCCAGAGUGGCUGGAGCCGGAGAGCAAAGAGGGGGAAGGAACAGCCAAGUCAGAGAAAAAAGUGGGGGCCAAAGUGUGGAGGGCCUUGCCAGCUGUCAUGAGGACGUGGGCUUUUACUGGGAGUGAAAGAGGAGCCCUGGGAGGGUUUUGGACAGAGGAGUGACAUGAUUCGAGUGUUAUGAUCUGGCUGAGGUUUUAUUUGCUCACAGUCUGAAGGAGAAGCCAGACAAUUAAAGGAGUGAUGAAUAGCAAUAACUGUGAGGAGAGUCGUGGUAGGAGAAAUACAGGGAGCCACGAGCACAUGGCACAGGUUCAGGUCAAAGAUGAGGAGGAAUGUGCCAGGUUUUUAAAAGUGGCCACAGACGCUUGCUCUCCUCCCAUUGAGAGUGCGUGCCCCUCUUCUCGUUUCUGGCAGGCUUGUGACUGCUUUGACCGAUGGAAUAUAGCAGGAGUGACACUAUGGGACUCCUGGGGCUGGGCCUUAGAAAGUGGUGCAGCUUCUGCUUUGUUUACUGGAACUCUCAGGAGCCUGGAGCUGCCAUGUCAGAAGUCUGACCAUCCUGAGGCCUGGUCUUUGAGUCAUCCAAACCCAGGCCCUGGGCACUUGAGUGAAUGAACCUUCAGAAGAUUCUGGCCCCAGCCAAAUGAGUCUUCUCAGCUGUCUCCACCACGCCAUUCCCACCCCACAGAAUCUGCAAGCAUGAUAUCAUGAUUAUUGUAUGCCACUAAGCUUUAGAGUAGCUCAGCAUCCAAUAACUGGAAAAAGAAGACAUUGAUAGUGAAACUCUGUUUUAAAGAUGAGACGAUGGAAGCUCAAGUAACCUGCCCAAGGUCACACAAUUGGGCUCACUUUCUUCCACUGGAAUGAGAGGUCUUCAAGAGCAGAGACCAAGUCUCGUGAACCUCUGUUUCCACCGCCCAGCAUCUAGCAGAGGUCAACACACAUGCGUGGAAGAAAUCAAUCAAUCAAUCAAUCACCAAAGUCGGUUUUGCAGACCGUUGUUCCAUUUUUCUAAUGCUGCAUAACAAACCACCACAGUAUUUAGUGACUUAAGAUAACACCAUUUACUUUGUGCAUGAAUCUACAGUUUGAGCAGGGCUUGGUGGGGACAGUCUGGCUAUGUGCCCCUUGGUGUCACCUGGGGCUGCUAGAAGGCCAGGGGCUGGAGACGGCUAAAAGGCCCCUCACACGCGUGUAUGGCCCUGGGUUCAGAAGACUCUGGCAGCUGUGGGCUGAACAGCUGGGGCUCCUUGGGCAUCUCUGUCUCUGUGUGGUCUCUCU
This is a long non-coding RNA of Equus caballus (horse), 1639 nucleotides long. The record is from Ensembl. NCBI's taxonomy places the organism in Eukaryota, Metazoa, Chordata, Mammalia, Perissodactyla, Equidae.